CGUGUGUGUGUGUGUGUGAAUAAAACGACCGUGUGUGUGUGUGUGUGAACAAAACGACCGUGUGUGUGUGUGUGUGUGAACAAAACGACCGUGUGUGUGUGUGUGUGUGAACAAAACGACCGUGUGUGUGUGUGUGAACAAAACGACCGUGUGUGUGUGUGAACAAAACGACCGUGUGUGUGUGUGUGUGUGAACAAAACGACCGUGUGUGUGUGUGUGAACAAAACGACCGUGUGUGUGUGUGUGUGUGAACAAAACGACCGUGUGUGUGUGUGUGAACAAAACGACCGUGUGUGUGUGUGUGUGUGAACAAAACGACCGUGUGUGUGUGUGUGAACAAAACGACUCGUGUGUGUGUGUGAACAAAACGACCGUGUGUGUGUGUGUGUGAACAAAACGACCAUGUGUGUGUGUGUGAACAAAACGACCGUGUGUGUGUGUGUGUGAACAAAACGACCGUGUGUGUGUGUGUGUGAACAAAACGACCGUGUGUGUGUGUGUGUGUGUGAACAAAACGACCGUGUGUGUGUGUGUGUGAACAAAACGACCGUGUGUGUGUGUGUGUGUGAACAAAACGACCGUGUGUGUGUGUGUGUGUGUGUGUGUGUGUGAACAAAACGACCGUGUGUGUGUAACAAAAGCGACCGUGUGUGUGUGUGUGAGAACAAAACGACCGUGUGUGUGUGUGAACAAAACGACCGUGUGUGUGUGUGAGAACAAAAGGACCGUGUGUGUGUGUGUGAGAACAAAACGACCGUGUGUGUGUGUGAGAACAAAACGACCGUGUGUGUGUGUGAGAACAAAAGGACCGUGUGUGUGUGUGUGAGAACAAAACGACCGACCGUGUGUGUGUGUGUGAGAACAAAAGGACCGUGUGUGUGUGUGUGUGUGAGAACAAAAGGACCGUGUGUGUGUGUGUGUGUGAGAACAAAAGGACCGUGUGUGUGUGUGUGAGAACAAAAGGACCGUGUGUGUGUGUGAGAACAAAAGGACCGUCUGUGUGUGUGAGAACAAAAGGAACGUGUGUGUGUGUGAGAACAAAACGACCGUGUGUGUGUGUGUGUGUGUGUGUGAGAACAAAACGACUGUGUGUGUGUGUGUGUGUGAACAAAACGACUGUGUGUGUGAACAGAACGACCGUGUCUGUGUGUGUGAACAGAACGACCGUGUGUGUCGACCUGUGUGUGUGUGUGUGAACAAAACGACCGUGUGUGUGUGUGGGAACAAA
Molecule: long non-coding RNA, 1228 nt
Filed under: Salmo salar (Atlantic salmon)
Lineage: Eukaryota; Metazoa; Chordata; Actinopteri; Salmoniformes; Salmonidae
Description: lncRNA (ENSSSAG00000099437.1, ENSSSAG00000109542.1)
Source: RNAcentral